GCGGGGGUCGCCAAGCCUGGUCAAAUCAGCUCAGCGGAUGCUGAGCAAGACUAGCGGCGCAGGGUUCAGGCCCCUGUCCCGAAGGGGUUCGUGGGUUCAAAUCCCACCCCCCGCA
RNAcentral lists this transfer RNA (115 nucleotides) under Candidatus Caldarchaeum sp. Its description in RNAcentral is "tRNA-Leu". The record is from RNAcentral. Lineage: Archaea; Thermoproteati; Nitrososphaerota; Candidatus Caldarchaeales; Candidatus Caldarchaeaceae.